This 468-nucleotide ribosomal RNA is filed under the name uncultured bacterium. Its description in RNAcentral is "partial 16S ribosomal RNA". It matches the Rfam family "Bacterial small subunit ribosomal RNA", at positions 28 to 507 of the family's 1533-position model. The record is from RNAcentral.
GACGAACGCUGGCGGCGUGCUUAACACAUGCAAGUCGAACGGAAAGGCCCUGCUUUUGUGGGGUGCUCGAGUGGCGCACGGGUGAGUAACACGUGAGUAACCUGCCCUUGACUUUGGGAUAACUUCAGGAAACUGGGGCUAAUACCGGAUAGGAGCUCCUGCUGCAUGGUGGGGGUUGGAAAGUUUCGGCGGUCGGGGAUGGACUCGCGGCUUAUCAGCUUGUUGGUGGGGUAGUGGCUUACCAAGGCUUUGACGGGUAGCCGGCCUGAGAGGGUGACCGGCCACAUUGGGACUGAGAUAGGGCCCAGACUCCUACGGGAGGCAGCAGUGGGGAAUAUUGAACAAUGGGCGGAAGCCUGAUGCAGCAACGCCGCGUGCGGGAGGACGGCCUUCGGGUUGUAAACCGCUUCCGCCUGGGACGAAGCGUGAGUGACGGUAAUGGGUAAAGAAGCACCGGCUAACUACGUG